CGAAGAAAGGUAUAAAAGGUAGGCACGACUGGUAAUACAGUUUUCCUGCCCUAAUUUUCCUUCGUGUCUAGUUUCCAAGAAAGGAGAAAGAGAGGUUAAAGACUUGGAAGUGGCUAUGUCUGCGCCAGAUCCUGAAGUGGAAGUAGCUUCGUCUUCUCAGAUGAAGGAAGCGUUGAUGGAUUCCAAAAUGGAAGGAGGGUAUGAAUGAGGAAAUAGAAGUCUUGCAGGAAAAUUAUACACGGCCCCUUAGGAGGCUCACCGGCAGCAGCAGCCCCUACGCCCAUUGGGAAGGAACAUAGAUCAUACAUAGAUGCUUUGCAAUAAUAAGUGACCAUAUUUUGUAUUGGGUUCAGCGAAAUGUGACUUCAGUUCAGUUGACCCAUAGCAUAGUGGUAUUGCAUUCGCUUCGUAAGCGAAAGGUCACGAGUUCGAUCCUCGUUGGGAGCUCAUCACAUUUUUUGCAAGUUUUGAUUUUCGUAUACUUUUUUUUAAUAAAACUCAUUCGAAGUAUUGUGAUUAUUUCCGCUAUGGCAGAACGAGCUUCAAGUAAGAAUGAUUGUCCUA
Long non-coding RNA from Cucurbita pepo subsp. pepo (vegetable marrow), 564 nucleotides. RefSeq lists it as uncharacterized. The record is from RefSeq and is a predicted model, not a curated record. NCBI's taxonomy places the organism in Eukaryota, Viridiplantae, Streptophyta, Magnoliopsida, Cucurbitales, Cucurbitaceae.